This 453-nucleotide ribosomal RNA is filed under the name uncultured Sphingobacteriales bacterium. Its description in RNAcentral is "bacterial SSU rRNA". It matches the Rfam family "Bacterial small subunit ribosomal RNA", at positions 930 to 1382 of the family's 1533-position model. Lineage: Bacteria; Pseudomonadati; Bacteroidota; Sphingobacteriia; Sphingobacteriales. The record is from RNAcentral.
CGGAGGAGCAUGUGGUUUAAUUCGAUGAUACGCGAGGAACCGUUACCUGGGCUCGAACGUAAGAUGACUGUAGGUGAAAGCUUACAUCUCUUCGGAGCAUUUUACGAGGUGCUGCAUGGUUGUCGUCAGCUCGUGCCGUGAGGUGUCGGGUUAAGUCCCAUAACGAGCGCAACCCCUACCCUUAGUUGCCAUCAGGUUAAGCUGGGGACUCUAAAGGAACUGCCUACGCAGGUAGUGAGGAAGGCGGGGAUGACGUCAAAUCAGCACGGCCCUUACGUCCAGGGCUACACACGUGCUACAAUGGCCGAUACAGAGGGCAGCUACCUGGUGACAGGAUGCAAAUCUCCAAAGUCGGUCUCAGUUCGGAUCGGAGUCUGCAACCCGACUCCGUGAAGUUGGAUUCGCUAGUAAUCGCGCAUCAGCCGUGGCGCGGUGAAUACGUUCCCGGGCCUU